AUUGAACGCUGGCGGCAGGCCUAAUACAUGCAAGUAGAACGAAGUUGCGAAAGGGUGAGUAACGCGUAGGUAACUACCUAUUAGAGGGGGAUAACUAUUGGAAACGAUAGCUAAUACCGCAUACUAGUAGAUGGACCUGCGUUGUAUUAGCUAGUAGGUAGGGUAAUGGCCUACCUAGGCAACGAUACAUAGCCGACCUGGGAGGGGUAUCGGCCACACUGGGACUGAGAGACGGCCCAGACCCCGCCGGUAGGCAGCAGUAGGGGAUCUUCGGCAAUGGGGAGAACCCGUAACGAGCAAAGCCGGGGGAGUGAAGAAGGUUUUUGGAUCGUAAAGCUCUGUUGUGUAGGAAGCGGUACGUAACCAGAAAGGGACGGCUAACUACGUGCCAGCAGCCGCGGUAAUAC
This 407-nucleotide ribosomal RNA is filed under the name uncultured bacterium. Its description in RNAcentral is "partial 16S ribosomal RNA". It matches the Rfam family "Bacterial small subunit ribosomal RNA", at positions 30 to 526 of the family's 1533-position model. The record is from RNAcentral.